RNAcentral lists this ribosomal RNA (425 nucleotides) under uncultured bacterium. RNAcentral's name for it is "partial 16S ribosomal RNA". It matches the Rfam family "Bacterial small subunit ribosomal RNA", at positions 354 to 796 of the family's 1533-position model. The record is from RNAcentral.
GUGGGGAAUAUUGGGCAAUGGGCGAAAGCCUGACCCAGCAACGCCGCGUGAAGGAAGAAGGUCUUCGGAUCGUAAACUUCUAUCCUUGGUGAAGAUAAUGACGGUAGCCGAGAAGGAAGCCCCGGCUAACUACGUGCCAGCAGCCGCGGUAAUACGUAGGGGGCAAGCGUUGUCCGGAAUGAUUGGGCGUAAAGGGCGCGUAGGCGGCCUGGUAAGUCUGGAGUGAAAGUCCUGCUUUUAAGGUGGGAAUUGCUUUGGAUACUGUCGGGCUUGAGUGCAGGGGAGGUAAGUGGAAUUCCCGGUGUAGCGGUGAAAUGCGUAGAGAUCGGGAGGAACACCAGUGGCGAAGGCGACUUACUGGACUGUAACUGACGCUGAGGCGCGAAAGUGUGGGGAGCAAACAGGAUUAGAUACCCUAGUAGUCC